AGUCAACAUGCCCAGGGGACGUGGAUAACCUCGGGAAACUGAGGAUAAACCGCGAUAGGCCAUGAUUUCUGGAAUGGUUCAUGGCCGAAAUCUAUAUGGCCCCUGGAUUGGACUGCGGCCGAUCAGGCUGUUGGUGAGGUAAUGGCCCACCAAACCUGUAACCGGUACGGGCUCUGAGAGGAGGAGCCCGGAGAUGGGCACUGAGACAAGGGCCCAGGCCCUAUGGGGCGCAGCAGGCGCGAAAUCUCUGCAAUAGGCGAAAGCUUGACAGGGUUACUCUGAGUGAUUCCCGCUAAGGGGAUCUUUUGGCACCUUUAAAAAUGGUGCAGAAUAAGGGGUGGGCAAGUCUGGUGUCAGCCGCCGCGGUAAUACCAGCACCCCGAGUGGUCGGGACGAUUAUUGGGCCUAAAGCAUCCGUAGCCGGCACUGCAAGUCUUCCGUUAAAUCCACCUGCUCAACAGUUGGGCUGCGGGGGAUACUACAGCGCUAGGAGGCGGGAGAGGCAAGCGGUACUCAAUGGGUAGGGGUAAAAUCCGCUGAUCCAUUGAAGACCACCAGUGGCGAAGGCGGCUUGCCAGAACGCGCUCGACGGUGAGGGAUGAAAGCUGGGGGAGCAAACCGGAUUAGAUACCCGGGUAGUCCCAGCUGUAAACGAUGCAGACUCGGUGAUGGGCUGGCCUUGUGCCAACCCAGUGCCGCAGGGAAGCCGUUAAGUCUGCCGCCUGGGGGGUACGGUCGCAAGACUGAAACUUAA
This 754-nucleotide ribosomal RNA is filed under the name uncultured archaeon. Its description in RNAcentral is "bacterial SSU rRNA". It matches the Rfam family "Archaeal small subunit ribosomal RNA", at positions 102 to 859 of the family's 1478-position model. The record is from RNAcentral.